CUAGUAUAGCACUUAUACCGUGAAACUGCGAAUGGCUCAUUAAAUCAGUUAUCGUUUAUUUGAUAGUACCUUACUACUUGGAUAACCGUGGUAAUUCUAGAGCUAAUACAUGCUAAAAACCCCGACUUCGGGAGGGGUGUAUUUAUUAGAUAAAAAACCAAUGCCCUUCGGGGCUCUUUGGUGAUUCAUGAUAACUUAACGGAUCGCAUGGCCUUGCGCCGGCGACGGUUCAUUCAAAUUUCUGCCCUAUCAACUUUCGAUGGUAAGGUAUUGGCUUACCAUGGUUUCAACGGGUAACGGGGAAUUAGGGUUCGAUUCCGGAGAGGGAGCCUGAGAAACGGCUACCACAUCCAAGGAAGGCAGCAGGCGCGCAAAUUACCCAAUCCCGACACGGGGAGGUAGUGACAAUAAAUACUGAUACAGGGCUCUUUUGGGUCUUGUAAUUGGAAUGAGUACAAUUUAAACCCCUUAACGAGGAACAAUUGGAGGGCAAGUCUGGUGCCAGCAGCCGCGGUAAUUCCAGCUCCAAUAGCGUAUAUUAAAGUUGUUGCAGUUAAAAAGCUCGUAGUUGAACCUUGGGCCUGGCUGGCCGGUCCGCCUCACCGCGUGCACUGGUCCGGCCGGGCCUUUCCUUCUGGAGAGCCCCAUGCCCUUCACUGGGUGUGCGGGGGAACCAGGACUUUUACUUUGAAAAAAUUAGAGUGUUCAAAGCAGGCCUUUGCUCGAAUACAUUAGCAUGGAAUAAUAAAAUAGGACGUGCGGUCCUAUUUUGUUGGUUUCUAGGACCGCCGUAAUGAUUAAUAGGGAUAGUCGGGGGCAUCCGUAUUCAAUUGUCAGAGGUGAAAUUCUUGGAUUUAUUGAAGACGAACUACUGCGAAAGCAUUUGCCAAGGAUGUUUUCAUUAAUCAGUGAACGAAAGUUAGGGGAUCGAAGACGAUCAGAUACCGUCGUAGUCUUAACCGUAAACUAUGCCGACUAGGGAUCGGGCGAUGUUACUAUUUUGACUCGCUCGGCACCUUACGAGAAAUCAAAGUUUUUGGGUCUGGGGG
This 1049-nucleotide ribosomal RNA is filed under the name Fissuroma wallichiae. Its description in RNAcentral is "SSU rRNA". It matches the Rfam family "Eukaryotic small subunit ribosomal RNA", at positions 60 to 1120 of the family's 1831-position model. Lineage: Eukaryota; Fungi; Ascomycota; Dothideomycetes; Pleosporales; Aigialaceae. The record is from RNAcentral.